This 123-nucleotide small RNA is filed under the name Pseudomonas protegens Pf-5. RNAcentral describes it as "sRNA P9". The stretch from base 51 to 123 matches the Rfam family "Pseudomonas sRNA P9". Rfam says of the family: P9 appears to be conserved in several Pseudomonas species in addition to Bordetella spp. In both Pseudomonas and Bordetella spp P9 appears to be located upstream of a predicted threonine dehydratase gene. The record is from RNAcentral. Lineage: Bacteria; Pseudomonadati; Pseudomonadota; Gammaproteobacteria; Pseudomonadales; Pseudomonadaceae.
GCGCGAGUAAUUUCCAGCCCAUGACUUUCCCUGCAUAUCGUUUCCAGCCAAGCAUUAUUACCGCCAUUCCUUAUUGGCGGGCUUGCUGACGACUGCACCCAACCCGCCCUGGAGGCGGGUUUU